GUUUCAUCUAAGAAUGUCUGUUCCCAUGGUUGGUCUGCUUGUGAGUGGUAUUUGUUGAUAGGAGAAGAAGGUCUACAGGGAGACAAGGGGCAGAAGUAGGCCAUCAAGAUGCUUUUGAAGAGGUUUUCUGGCGAAAAACUGAUGUUGUCAGGCCCCUUGUCACAGGCCCUGACCCCCUGAACUCAGGAAACUCCUAAAGGUUUCUGCUCAACUGCCAACCUUACUUUUUAGAAACUAGCCAACUGCUGGAACAGAAAAAGAAACAUUUGAGGAAGACUUCUCAGAUUAAUCAG
This 293-nucleotide long non-coding RNA is filed under the name Vulpes vulpes (red fox). Its description in RNAcentral is "lncRNA (ENSVVUG00000016545.1)". The record is from RNAcentral. Lineage: Eukaryota; Metazoa; Chordata; Mammalia; Carnivora; Canidae.